RNAcentral lists this ribosomal RNA (406 nucleotides) under uncultured bacterium. RNAcentral's name for it is "partial 16S ribosomal RNA". It matches the Rfam family "Bacterial small subunit ribosomal RNA", at positions 30 to 526 of the family's 1533-position model. The record is from RNAcentral.
AUUGAACGCUGCCGGCAGGCUUAACACAUGCCAGUCGAGCGAGCGGCGGACGGGUGAGUAAUGUCUGGGAACCUGCCUGCUGUAGGGGGAUAACUACUGGAAACGGUAGCUAAUACCGCAUACCAUCAGAUGUUCCCAGCUGGGAUUAGCUAGUAGGUGGGGUAAUGGCUCACCUAGGCGACGAUCCCUAGCUGGUCUGAGAGGAUGACCAGCCACACUGGAACUGAGAAACGGUCCAGACUCCUACGGGAGGCAGCAGUGGGGAAUAGUGCAAAAUGGGCGCAAGCCUGAUGCAGCCAUGCCGCGUGUAUGAAGAAGGCCUUCGGGUUGUAAAGCACUUUCAGCGAGGAGGCGUUACUCGCAGAAGAAGCACCGGCUAACUCCGUGCCAGCAGCCGCGGUAAUUC